AACAAAAUGCGGUAGCCUACGUCACCUGCGACCCCAAGCAAGUGCCCUUCAUCUCAAAGGAUGCUAUUUCGCCACUUGAUUGAGAGCGCUGCACCAUGGACACUUGACUGGUUGAGCACUGGACAAAAAGACAUUUGCAACGGUAACUUCAAUUGAGAAUGACAUGGACCUUCCUAUCACACCUCGACUGAUCAUGCUUGGGAACACAUUACUGACUUCCACAAAAUGGAUGGUGAGCAUGGAGGGGAAGGUGGCCUUUGUCUUGGAUGAGCACUUAAGUUUCACUGAUGCCCUAUUCUUUGUGAGAAUUAAUCCCGAGGAUGGAACUAAGUGUACAACAAAAACAGGAGUGAGCCGAAAAACAGGACAGUUGGUGAAGAGAAAGGCCUUACCAAUCAACAACAGAGUGGCGUCAUUUGUGUCUAGGCUGACCCAAUUUGAGUGGCAGCACUCAAACUAGGUGUGAAUGUCACAUUAGGGUAACACAUAUUUUUCUGGUAGACUGUUUUAUAGUUUCUGGAGGGUUUGGCCCAAGGUUUUGGAGCUGAUUUUUUUAUUGUUAGUGCACUCAGGCUAGUCCUGCCCAAAUGAAGAAGCGGGUCAGUGGAGGUUAGUGGAGUCUAUGGCUGGUUAAAUCUCUCGGUUGAAUGCCAUGGCCAUUGGCCGAACGUAGCUGA
Alosa alosa (allis shad) is the source of this 677-nucleotide long non-coding RNA. RefSeq lists it as uncharacterized. The transcript has 4 exons. NCBI's taxonomy places the organism in Eukaryota, Metazoa, Chordata, Actinopteri, Clupeiformes, Clupeidae. The record is from RefSeq and is a predicted model, not a curated record.